GACCAAUCACUGACUUGUAAUAAGGGUAUUUCUGUCUCUUCUCCAGGAAAAGGCUGCAUCUCUUGGGCUGACCUUGAAAGCAGAUGUAAUGUCCUCUGGCCCUCAGACAGCCUGAUGUUUUACUCUAAAGAUUCUGUGGUAUUAUGGCGACCGGAGUUUGACCUGCAGACAAUUUAAUAUCUCUUGGCAAAUGUGUUUUCAACAUUGUUGCAAUAAAAUACUCAAAA
Long non-coding RNA from Hippoglossus stenolepis (Pacific halibut), 227 nucleotides. RefSeq lists it as uncharacterized. The record is from RefSeq and is a predicted model, not a curated record. The transcript is spliced from 3 exons. NCBI's taxonomy places the organism in Eukaryota, Metazoa, Chordata, Actinopteri, Pleuronectiformes, Pleuronectidae.